This 370-nucleotide ribosomal RNA is filed under the name uncultured eukaryote. Its description in RNAcentral is "partial 18S ribosomal RNA". It matches the Rfam family "Eukaryotic small subunit ribosomal RNA", at positions 592 to 976 of the family's 1831-position model. The record is from RNAcentral.
CAAUAGCGUAUAUUAAAGUUGUUGCAGUUAAAAAGCUCGUAGUUGGACCUUGGACCUGGACAGGCGGUCCGCCUCACGGCGUGUUCUGUCUUGCUGGGUCUUUCCUCUUGGUGAUCUGUUGUUUCGGCAGCAGGGAACCAGGACUUUUACUUUGAAAAAAUUAGAGUGUUCAAAGCAGGCUCGACGCCGGAAUAUAUUAGCAUGGAAUAAUAAAAUAGGACGUGCGGUUCUAUUUUGUUGGUUUUUGGAAUCGCCGUAAUGAUUAAUAGGGACAGUCGGGGGCAUUAGUACUCACAUGCUAGAGGUGAAAUUCUUGGAUUUUGUGAAGACUAACUUCUGCGAAAGCAUUUGCCAAGGAUGUUUUCAUUAA